UGAGGAAUAUUGGUCAAUGGGCGAGAGCCUGAACCAGCCAAAUCGCGUGAAGGAAGACUGCCUUAUGGGUUGUAAACUUCUUUUAUACAGGAAUAAAAAAGGGGACGUGUCCCUUAUUGCAUGUACUGUAUGAAUAAGCAUCGGCUAACUCCGUGCCAGCAGCCGCGGUAAUACGGAGGAUGCGAGCGUUAUCCGGAUUUAUUGGGUUUAAAGGGUGCGCAGGCGGGCUUUUAAGUCAGCGGUGAAAUCUCGGGGCUUAACUCCGAAACUGCCGUUGAAACUGGGAGUCUUGAGUAUGGAUGAAGUAGGCGGAAUUCGUUGUGUAGCGGUGACAUGCUUAGAUAUAACGAGGAACUCCGAUUGCGUAGGCAGCUUACUAAGCCAUAACUGACGCUCAAGCACGAAAGCGUGGGGAUCAAACAGGAUUAGAUACCCUGGUAGUCCACGCCGUAAACGAUGAUUACUAGUUGUAUGCGAUAUACCGUAUGUGACUAAGCGAAAAGCGAUAAGUAAUCCACCUGGGGAGUACGCCGGCAACGGUGAAACUCAAAUGAAUUGACGGGGUCAUAGCUGUUU
Molecule: ribosomal RNA, 576 nt
Filed under: uncultured bacterium
Lineage: Bacteria
Description: partial 16S ribosomal RNA
Rfam family: Bacterial small subunit ribosomal RNA
Source: RNAcentral